GGGGAAUAUUGCACAAUGGGGGAAACCCUGAUGCAGCGACGCCGCGUGGAGGAAGAAGGUCUUCGGAUUGUAAACUCCUGUUGUUGAGGAAGAUAAUGACGGUACUCAACAAGGAAGUGACGGCUAACUACGUGCCAGCAGCCGCGGUAAAACGUAGGUCACAAGCGUUGUCCGGAAUUACUGGGUGUAAAGGGAGCGCAGGCGGGCAGACAAGUUGGAAGUGAAAUCCAUGGGCUCAACCCAUGAACUGCUUUCAAAACUGUAUGUCUUGAGUAGUGCAGAGGUAGGCGGAAUUCCCGGUGUAGCGGUGGAAUGCGUAGAUAUCGGGAGGAACACCAGUGGCGAAGGCGGCCUACUGGGCACCAACUGACGCUGAGGCUCGAAAGUGUGGGUAGCAAACAGGAUUAGAUACCCUGGUAGUCCACACCGUAAACGAUGAUUACUAGGUGUUGGAGGAUUGACCCCUUCAGUGCCGCAGUUAACACAAUAAGUAAUCCACCUGGGGAGUACGACCGCAAGGUUGAAACUCAAAGGAAUUGACGGGGGCCCGCACAAGCAGUGGAGUAUGUGGUUUAAUUCGACGCAACGCGAAGAACCUUACCAAGUCUUGACAUCCUGCGACGGUACUGGAAACAGUACUUUCCUUCGGGACGCAGAGACAGGUGGUGCAUGGUUGUCAUCAGCUCGUGUCGUGAGAUGUUGGGUUAAGUCCCGCAACGAGCGCAACCCUUAUGGUCAGUUACUACGCAAGAGGACUCUGGCCAGACUGCCGUUGACAAAACGGAGGAAGGUGGGGAUGACGUCAAAUCAUCAUGCCCUUUAUGACUUGGGCUACACACGUACUACAAUGGCGUUAAACAAAGAGAAGCAAGACCGCGAGGUGGAGCAAAACUCAGAAACAACGUCCCAGUUCGGACUGCAGGCUGCAACUCGCCUGCACGAAGUCGGAAUUGCUAGUAAUCGUGGAUCAGCAUGCCACGGUGAAUACGUUCCCG
RNAcentral lists this ribosomal RNA (995 nucleotides) under uncultured bacterium. RNAcentral's name for it is "bacterial SSU rRNA". It matches the Rfam family "Bacterial small subunit ribosomal RNA", at positions 356 to 1376 of the family's 1533-position model. The record is from RNAcentral.